Molecule: transfer RNA, 64 nt
Filed under: Geoscapheus dilatatus
Lineage: Eukaryota; Metazoa; Arthropoda; Insecta; Blattodea; Blaberidae
Also listed under: 2 other names
Description: tRNA-Gly
Source: RNAcentral
AUUUAUCUAAUAUAUAAGUAUAUUUGACUUCCAAUCAAAAAGUUUGUUAAAAACAAGAUAAAUA